Molecule: non-coding RNA, 559 nt
Organism: Oryzias latipes (Japanese medaka)
Lineage: Eukaryota; Metazoa; Chordata; Actinopteri; Beloniformes; Adrianichthyidae
Source: RefSeq, a predicted model, not a curated record
CCUGCACUUUGGUUGGAGGUGAAGUAGUUGGAUGAAUGCAGCUAUUUGUAACCGGCAGGUCUACCUGUGGCAGGUGCAUGUGCUGUUAGAUUAGGGAUUUGGUUCAGCUGUGUCUGUCCCUAUAAAAGGAACAGGAAGUGCAUGGAUACACAGCGCCCGCCCGCCCGCCCGAUGUGCCUCUUGUUGGAAGAAUGUCCGGGUCGGGCACCGGUUCGUGCAGUGUCGGUGAGGGGGGCCCCUGCUGGCAGUGUUUUCCUCACUCCAGUUCCCUCACUGUUUUUGUUUGUUUUCCUUUUCAGUAGUGGAAGAUUCGUUGGCACGUUUUCUCACUCUGUGGGUUUGUUUUAUUUGUUUUCAGCACGGAGUGGAGUGAGGUUCGCUGUCUUGUACUGGCUUAGUCCACGGCCCCUCUCUUCCCCUCUCAUCUUGCACAGGCAAUUGACUCGGCCUUCUUUUCUUCUGCUUUUCCUUUUAUUGUCUUUAUUUGCAUAUAGAUAGUCAGAGUAUAAUUGCAACUAUGGAAAUAUGAAAUUGUUAAAUUAAAAUUUUUAUAAGCUUU